RNAcentral lists this non-coding RNA (90 nucleotides) under unclassified sequences. The record is from RNAcentral.
UAUAAUCUGCCACCGGGUAGAGGUUGCAUAAAAGCAUCCGUCAAUACAUCGUUAGGUCUUAGAAGGUGUAUUUUCGGAUGCUUUUAUGUG